This 208-nucleotide ribosomal RNA is filed under the name uncultured bacterium. Its description in RNAcentral is "partial 16S ribosomal RNA". It matches the Rfam family "Bacterial small subunit ribosomal RNA", at positions 335 to 561 of the family's 1533-position model. The record is from RNAcentral.
ACUCCUACGGGAGGCAGCAGUGGGAAUAUUGGACAAUGGGCGCAAGCCUGAUCCAGCCAUGCCGCGUGAGUGAUGAAGGCCUUAGGGUUGUAAAGCUCUUUGUCCGGGACGAUAAUGACGGUACCGGAAGAAUAAGCCCGCUAGCUUACUGUGCCAGCAGCCGCGGUAAUACGAAGGGGCGGUAGCGUUGCUCGGAAUCACUGGGCGU